Molecule: long non-coding RNA, 255 nt
Filed under: Lathyrus oleraceus (garden pea)
Lineage: Eukaryota; Viridiplantae; Streptophyta; Magnoliopsida; Fabales; Fabaceae
Description: Pisum sativum (pea) long non-coding RNA (PSAT_LNC028774)
Source: RNAcentral
UUUGCAUUCAUGUUGCAUAAGCCAAAUUUCUUAAUCAAAUAAACAAACCCUUGAUCUAACGUCAAACGGGUUUUUCUUAAUCAAAUUCAAUAUACUCAAUAACUAUGAUUAUUAUUGUGUGCUACGAUCCUUAAGGGGUGGAGAAUGAGUGGGAAUGAAUCAUUCCUACCCUCACUCUAUUUAUCUUGGACGCAAAACGCUUGACUUGUUGUCUAGAAUAUUCACCUCCGCCCCUAGACUUUAGUGCAAUCUAAU